Long non-coding RNA from Octopus sinensis (East Asian common octopus), 126 nucleotides. RefSeq lists it as uncharacterized. The transcript has 3 exons. The record is from RefSeq and is a predicted model, not a curated record. NCBI's taxonomy places the organism in Eukaryota, Metazoa, Mollusca, Cephalopoda, Octopoda, Octopodidae.
AAAUUCUGAGGAUCGAAUAAAGCUGUGAAAGCUCCAAAAUUUCCAAAGUGUUUCUCACACACAUGAUUCCAUCAGUCUGGCGAUGCAGCUAGUGAGACUGACUGGACCAUGGUUGACAGGUGAGGU